RNAcentral lists this ribosomal RNA (253 nucleotides) under uncultured prokaryote. RNAcentral describes it as "partial 16S ribosomal RNA". It matches the Rfam family "Bacterial small subunit ribosomal RNA", at positions 525 to 777 of the family's 1533-position model. The record is from RNAcentral.
ACGGAGGGUGCAAGCGUUAAUCGGAAUUACUGGGCGUAAAGCGCACGUAGGUGGUUUGUUAAGCUAGCUGUGAAAUCCCCGGGCUCAACCUGGGCAUUGCAGUUAGAACUGGCAAGCUAGAGUAGGGUAGAGGGUUGUGGAAUUCCAGGUGUAGCGGGGAAAUGCGUAGAUAUCUGGAGGAACAACGGUGGCGAAGGUGACCCCCUGGACGGAGACUGACACUGAGGGGCGAAAGCGUGGGGAGCAAACAGGA